GCAGGCUCUUGAUAAGUGCCAACUUGGAGAAGAAGUGAGGAGUAAGGAAGGGAAGCUUGACUCACCAGUUACGGAGAAUGGAGAAAACUGGAGUGUGGGUCAAAGGCAGUUGGUGUGUCUCGGGCGUGUGUUACUCAAAAAGACGAAAGUCUUGGUACUUGACGAAGCUACUGCAUCAGUAGACACUGCAACUGAUGGAAUGAUACAGCAAACACUUGUGGAACACUUUACCGACACAACUAUGAUAAUGAUCGCACAUCGAAUCACCUCUGUGCUUGAUAGUGACAUGGUUUUGGUUCUAGAACAAGGUCUGAUUGAAGAAUAUGAUUCUCCAACAAAGUUGCUGGAAGAUAAAUCAUCAUCAUUUGCAAAGCUUGUUGCGGAGUAUAGUAUGAGGUCUAGUUCCAGUUAUAAAAA
Molecule: RNA transcript, 417 nt
Organism: Helianthus annuus (common sunflower)
Lineage: Eukaryota; Viridiplantae; Streptophyta; Magnoliopsida; Asterales; Asteraceae
Exons: 3
Source: RefSeq, a predicted model, not a curated record